Non-coding RNA from Baffinella frigidus, 73 nucleotides. NCBI's taxonomy places the organism in Eukaryota, Cryptophyceae, Cryptomonadales, Baffinellaceae. The record is from the annotation of a GenBank genome assembly.
GCCUCCAUGGCUCAGUUGGCAGAGCGCAUGCUUAGUAAGCAUGAGGUCCCGAGUUCGAACCUCGGUGGAGGCA